Molecule: unclassified non-coding RNA, 229 nt
Filed under: Hevea brasiliensis (rubber tree)
Lineage: Eukaryota; Viridiplantae; Streptophyta; Magnoliopsida; Malpighiales; Euphorbiaceae
Source: RNAcentral
AUGGGAAUGAGUUCAACAUCUGAUGGUCCUGCAGUGGAUACUAAUCUCUCUGCCUCGGGAGAGACCAGAAUCGUUCCUGAUUUAUCUACCAAAUGCAGACUCCCGUGGAAUAAACAACAAGAAAUGGUUUUGGCUGACAUGUAUAUUGAGCCUGGUAAAGUUUGGGAAUAUUGUCCGCGAGAAGCAUUGCGCCGAGUCUCUAAAGUUUUAAAAGAUGAAUUUGACUUGG